GGCAGCAGUCGAGAAUCAUUCACAAUGGGGGCAACCCUGAUGGUGCAACGCCGCGUGGAGGAUGAAGGCCCUAGGGUCGUAAACUCCUGUCAUAGCAGAGUAAGACAUAUGCGUUAAUAGCGUGUAUGUUUGAUAGUAUGCUAAGAGGAAGGGACGGCUAACUUCGUGCCAGCAGCCGCGGUAAU
This 185-nucleotide ribosomal RNA is filed under the name uncultured Rubritalea sp. RNAcentral describes it as "partial 16S ribosomal RNA". It matches the Rfam family "Bacterial small subunit ribosomal RNA", at positions 347 to 524 of the family's 1533-position model. Lineage: Bacteria; Pseudomonadati; Verrucomicrobiota; Verrucomicrobiia; Verrucomicrobiales; Rubritaleaceae. The record is from RNAcentral.